GUCCUUGCCGUAACGAUGUGGAUUAGGUGUCAAGGGUGUUGAUCCCUUUGGCGCCGACGCUAACGCAUUAAAUCCACCACCUGGGGAGUACGGUCGCAAGACUGAACUCAAAGAAAUUGACGGGACCCGCACAAGCGGUGGAGCAUGUGGUUUAAUUCGAGGCUACGCGAAGAACCUUACCCAGGCUUGACAUGUAGUUGCCAGCCAGCGAAAGCUGGUGUUCCCGCAAGGGACGAUUACACAGGUGCUGCAUGGCUGUCGU
This 262-nucleotide ribosomal RNA is filed under the name uncultured bacterium. Its description in RNAcentral is "partial 16S ribosomal RNA". It matches the Rfam family "Bacterial small subunit ribosomal RNA", at positions 793 to 1055 of the family's 1533-position model. The record is from RNAcentral.